RNAcentral lists this ribosomal RNA (300 nucleotides) under uncultured Tenacibaculum sp. RNAcentral's name for it is "bacterial SSU rRNA". It matches the Rfam family "Bacterial small subunit ribosomal RNA", at positions 115 to 400 of the family's 1533-position model. The record is from RNAcentral. Lineage: Bacteria; Pseudomonadati; Bacteroidota; Flavobacteriia; Flavobacteriales; Flavobacteriaceae.
GCGUAUAGAAUCUGCCUUGUACAGGAGGAUAGCCUUUAGAAAUGAAGAUUAAUACUCCAUAAUAUUGAGAAGUGGCAUCGCUUUUUAAUUAAACAUUUAUGGGUACAAGAUGACUAUGCGUCCUAUUAGCUAGAUGGUAAGGUAACGGCUUACCAUGGCAACGAUAGGUAGGGGGUCUGAGAGGAUUAUCCCCCACACUGGUACUGAGACACGGACCAGACUCCUACGGGAGGGCAGCAGUGAGGAAAUAAUUGGUUCGAAUAGGAGGGCAACUCUGAACCACGCCACUGCCGCCGUGCA